This 443-nucleotide ribosomal RNA is filed under the name uncultured bacterium. Its description in RNAcentral is "partial 16S ribosomal RNA". It matches the Rfam family "Bacterial small subunit ribosomal RNA", at positions 338 to 795 of the family's 1533-position model. The record is from RNAcentral.
CCUACGGGAGGCUGCAGUGGGGAAUAUUGGGCAAUGGGCGCAAGCCUGACCCAGCAACGCCGCGUGAAGGAAGAAGGCUUUCGGGUUGUAAACUUUUUUUCUCAGGGACGAAGCAAGUGACGGUACCUGAGGAAUAAGCCACGGCUAACUACGUGCCAGCAGCCGCGGCAAUACGUAGGUGGCAAGCGUUAUCCGGAUUUACUGGGUGUAAGGGGCGUGUAGGCGGGGAUGGAAGUCAGAUGUGAAAACCACGGGCUCAACCUGUGGCCUGCAUUUGAAACUGUGUUUCUUGAGUACUGGAGAGGCAGACGGAAUUCCUGGUGUAGCGGUGAAAUGCGUAGAUAUUAGGAGGAACACCAGUGGCGAAGGCGGUCUGCUGGACAGCAACUGACGCUGAGGCGCGAAAGCGUGGGGAGCAAACAGGAUUAGAUACCCUUGUAGUC